GCAGCAGGGAACCCGUCGCCUUUGUUCUGGAGGUCAUGCUGCUGGAGAUGGCAAAUAUUGACAUACAUGGAGUGUAUCCCAGAGGAUUAUGCCACGCGGUAUACAAAAUAAAUACGGAAGAAAUAAUCCUCAAUCAAUCAGAGGUUUCUCCACCACAGCAUGAUCCCAAACCCAUUGAAAUCCAGCAUGUCUCUACGCUGUAUAAGCAGCUUCCUCAGUUUUCUCCAAACUACUUUCAGUCCUCUCCGUUACAGUAAGAUUGUCCUUGCUAUAGAGACUACUGACUUUUUCCUACGUGUGUCAAGGCUGAUCUUUCUGCUGCCCUUCUGCUUCACUUCACUGAAUCUGUGGUGAGACACUAAAGCUCAUUCUUCUUACACUGAGAAUUACUCCCCAG
RNAcentral lists this long non-coding RNA (397 nucleotides) under Calidris pugnax (ruff). Its description in RNAcentral is "lncRNA (ENSCPUG00000012362.1)". Lineage: Eukaryota; Metazoa; Chordata; Aves; Charadriiformes; Scolopacidae. The record is from RNAcentral.